CUUGCAUUGCCGUCGAUGAUUGCGAGUUGCGAACGUUGGUUGUUGAGUAAUGAAUACUGAAAUGAGAGGAAAACUAAAACUUGUAUAGAAUCAGAGAUUCAGAAUACGAAUCCCCGUUACGCACUCAAUUCCCUGCCCGCGACGUAACUCUCCUCGAAAUUCGAAUAGCUUCUUCUUCUUGAAGGGUAAACCACUAAGCUUCUUCUCCCUCUUUCUCUCUCCACGCAUUUGCUUUCGAUGGACGAAGUCAUCAUGGCCUCUGAUGCAUCGUCAAGCUUUCGAUCAGCAUCAUUUCAGCCCUCCAUAAUUCCCUCCAACACCCCUCUUCUCUCCGCUUUCCUUGCCUUCGCUAUCGCUCAGUUCCUUAAACUCUUCACCACCUGGUCAAAUUAAACCAGACAUCUACAUAUGCCAAUGAUAAAGAGUGACUGCAUACAAGUAGAGGGGACAGAUGGGGAAAAGCUAGACCAUACAUGGCUUGAGGUUGGAGUUAUAAGGAUUCGGUUUCUCAAGAACAUCUUUCGAAGAAUAUGAUUCUAGAGAGAGCAGGAUGGAGGGAAGGAAUUCUAGUACGCCACCUCAUUUAGAAUGGAAUUAAAGAUUAAUUGAGUUUUAGUAAAGAAGCAAGAUGUUGCUUAGUUUUCCAUCACUCAGGAGACGUUAAGCAAUAUUGGGAAAGUAGAAUAAUGAAUAUUCUACACAUCUGAUUUUGAGUCCUCUUGCUUUCAGGUACAAAGAGAAGAGAUGGGAUUCUAGAAGGAUCCUUGGAUCAGGUGGGAUGCCCUCAUCACAUACAGCAACUGUGACCGCUCUUGCAGUAGCUAUUGGUCUACAAGAAGGAACUGGAGCACCAACAUUUGCUAUUGCGCUGGUUUUGGCAUGUGUUGUAUGUAUUUGUUAACCAGGUGUUGUUCAUUUUUUGUGUUGACAUGCUUGAUUAUGCAGAAGAGAACAGAUUUUUUCCUCUGCUCCCACCUUCAUAUCCUGUUCUCUCAAAUGAUCUAUUCUUGCAGAAAAAGAUUGCUUUUUCCCCCCAUAGUUAUGCUGCUGCAUAGUCAUAUUGUGAUUUAUGGUGCAUUAGUUAUUUUGCCAACUUCCAUACUCAUUUAAUAAUUAGAGAUCUCCACAAUUCAUUCGCAGUUAAAGGUUCUCAUAUAACGUGUGACUUUUUGCAGGUUAUGUAUGAUGCUACUGGUGUUCGACUUCAUGCUGGUCGCCAAGCUGAAGUGAGAUCAUUUACUGCAUUAUACUUUAUCAUAUGCAUAUUUGUUCAACUGAAUUAAUCAAAUUCGUUGUGGAAUCUGGUGAAGUUCUCUAAUAAAGCAUGGAUAAUUUGAAAAAUUUUCCAGGCCCUAUCUAAUUUACUAACAGCGUCAGCUUGCUAGAUUGUAUUUGCAAUGUCUACUAUCUGUGGCUCAAUGUUGAAAUAUUUCUUUCUUUUGUUCAAUAUUUUUUUUAAAAUAAAUGUGAAAUGAUAAAUUCCCCCUAAAUUUCAUCCUGUGUAUUCUAAAUAGGAUGAAAAUGCAUUUUCAUAGAUUUUUUUGAUGUUUGAUGUUGUCAUUCUGUUAAUUUGAUUGUUGGAAACCUUUAUUGAUCUUGACAGUCUUUGAUUUUGAGGCAGCUAUAAUAAUGUUAUUGAAAUAUAACCUGUUUAGUGUUUAACAAUUAAUAUAACAUACAAGACUUUGGAUGCAGUUUUUCUGUGAACAUUCAUAUGGUUCUUAUAAUUGAUAAGCUUCUAAAGUAAAAUAGAUCAAGUAGGAUGACAUUAUGCUGCAGUAAUUUGCCGAUUGUUGAUUUUGGUUUGAUUUAUAUUUUGUCAAUCUAACUAGUUUGUGAAUUGGUGGCUCUUUUGGUUUUUCCAUUUGUACUGGACAUACUUUGUCCUGUGAACAAUCAUUAAACAAAGGACAUUAUGUUUAGGACGCAAACACUGGUGUCAAACAGUAAAUAAAGAGCUUAAAUUGUUGAUAAUAUUUUUAUUCUAACAAAAUAUUUAUGAAAAAAUGUACUUGCACAUGCAAACUGCUCCAUGAUAUUCUGAGGAAGGGAAAACACAUGCAUUUUAUCAUCAUUGGGAUUGGGGUAUACCUGGCAUGCAAGUGCAUCAUAUCUUACGGGUUUCAUGCUUACCAUUGGUUAAAUUCUUCCUUGAAUUUUUGCUUGGUUGUGUUCAUUCUGUAGCAAUUUUUUCUUUGCCAUGAAGUUGAACAUUUAUUUGCUGCUAACAAUUACAUUCAUCAUCAUGGUACUAUUUGCUCUAUGCCUACCCAAUCUUUGUGGUUGUAGUGUAGAAUGCUUUACCUGUGCAUGUUUAUAUUUUUCUUUCUAACUUGUAUCCUUUCGCAUUUUGCAGUUACUAAAUCAAAUUGUAUGUGAGCUACCUCCUGACCACCCUGUCUCCAAUGUCAGACCUCUUCGAGAUUCGCUAGGUCACACUCCUCUCCAGGUUGCUGCUGGUGCUGUGCUGGGGAGCAUUGUAGCAUUUCUCAUGAGAAGUUCCAACUAGCGGAUGAUCUCACUUAUGUCCAAUGGUGAUUCUUUGACCAAUUCACGGAACACUCAACAGGCUCACACUCUGCAAGCAUAUUUGCUCCCUCAUGGAAGAAUCAAAACUUUCUGCUUCGUGGGGCCGUACUCAAUGUUAAUGGAUGGGGGUCUUCUGUUGGCAUGUACGAUAACUUGACCGAGUGAUGCGUGUGGGUGUGUGUGUGUUUG
RNAcentral lists this unclassified non-coding RNA (2718 nucleotides) under Hevea brasiliensis (rubber tree). Lineage: Eukaryota; Viridiplantae; Streptophyta; Magnoliopsida; Malpighiales; Euphorbiaceae. The record is from RNAcentral.